This 253-nucleotide ribosomal RNA is filed under the name uncultured bacterium. Its description in RNAcentral is "partial 16S ribosomal RNA". It matches the Rfam family "Bacterial small subunit ribosomal RNA", at positions 524 to 776 of the family's 1533-position model. The record is from RNAcentral.
UACAGAGGUCUCAAGCGUUGUUCGGAUUCAUUGGGCGUAAAGGGUGCGUAGGUGGCGUGGUAAGUCGGAUGUGAAAUCCCGGGGCUCAACCCCGGAACUGCAUUCGAUACUGCUGCGCUAGAGUACUGGAGAGGAGAUUGGAAUUUACGGUGUAGCAGUGAAAUGCGUAGAUAUCGUAAGGAAGACCAGUGGCGAAGGCGGAUCUCUGGACAGUUACUGACACUGAGGCACGAAGGCCAGGGGAGCAAACGGG